RNAcentral lists this long non-coding RNA (1460 nucleotides) under Homo sapiens (human). RNAcentral's name for it is "HSALNT0333451". Lineage: Eukaryota; Metazoa; Chordata; Mammalia; Primates; Hominidae. The record is from RNAcentral.
GGCACCAACAUCUUCAUUAUGAGUAAGGUAACUAACCACUGGGCCAAAGCAUUGGAAUCCGACUCCUGGGGUUUCUGCACUCCAGACUACUGGUUCACAUGUGAGGAGCCUGUGAGAGACCUGAGAUCUUUUAUUCUGCUUUGUGAUCAGAUCCUAUUGCUUUCACAAAAAAACGUCGUUUAUUAGGGGUGGUGUAUGGCGCGUUUGAGGACGUGCGUGGAAAGAUUUUCCCAAGUUGCAGAGGAGACGUUGGUGUUUACGGAAAACUGAAAUAAGUGAACUUGCAAGACAAGACUGGAGGAAAAUCCCAGCAUUCCUGGGAGCUCAACUGAGGGGGCGAAGGGAAGGGGAAAAGGAAUGCCCCUCGGGAGUUUCCCGGGAUAGCGCGCGGCCCCACGGGCUUCCUACUGCCGGCUCACCAACGGGAAAUAUGCGCAGGGGAGACUCCCAAACGGACACAAAAAAGAUUCCUCAUCCCUGCUUCUCAUACCCCCUUUUUCGCACAUACACAGGAGCCCAUACUGUGAAAAUCCACCCCCUACACCACAGCUGAUUGCUGCGAUGGGUCUCUGGGGAUGUUCUCAGUCGGCCCUACCCUAGCAUCUUUAUAAACGCCUCCUGGUGGCUUUUAGCUGAGUAGGAGCGCCACGAUAUUCAGUACACAUUUAGAAGCGAGCGCUUCAGCAAUUUCCUUGUGGUAGAGAGGAAUGCAGCUCUGCUCCAAGUAGUUUAACCUAGAUUCGACGCCUGUUCAUGGACAGCGUGCUUAGUGCAAAUUGAAUGUAACAGUUUGCAGGUUGGGGUUGGUUUCCGGGAUUUCAGAUUUUUAAACGGACACACCGACACUCUGGAAGUGGUCUUCGAGGACCGCAUGCUCCCUCUUGUGGAUGACAACAGUUCCCAACGCCAAACAAACAAGAAAACCACAACCCAGUAACUCUCCCUGCAAAUACAGGCUUCUUUUUAUCAGGAUUCCUGCUGGAUUUCUUUGCAACGGAAUUUUUGCAACUGGCUGUCAUUAGGCAAAAUCUUUAAAUUCAGUGUUUUCUGGAAAGCUGGGUUGGGAGUGUUCCUCAAUCUUAGACUAGGUCUAUGAGAAACAAAUUCACCGUCCAAACCCAAAGAAUGGACUCAGAGACCCGGAGAACAGCAAAAGUGAGAGUUUAACGACGAUCUUGCAAGAUCGGUUGUCUGAUGAGCGGGCACACCCAGCACACUUUGAACAACCGAUUUAUCCCGUGGUGCGCAGGUCCCUCCCCGGGUUCCUCACAGGGUCGAGGAUGGUCAAGGACAGUCCUGUUUGCACAGAGGUGGCAGGAAACUCUCAGGAGAGAGGAUAAAAAUCCUCCAAGGGAGAUUCCAAAUUUUCAAGCCGUGGUGGAGACAAGAAAAGUUCCUUAAAAAAAAAAAAAAAAAAAGUGCUUACAAAGAGGAUGAUUUCAAACCUGAGUGGAGAAAGC